GCACUACUGACGAGUCCCCCAAACAGGACGAAACAGCUUUCCAGUGC
This is a non-coding RNA of Echinostoma caproni, 47 nucleotides long. Lineage: Eukaryota; Metazoa; Platyhelminthes; Trematoda; Plagiorchiida; Echinostomatidae. The record is from Rfam.